AUGAAAACAUCUUUUCUUCCUAACUCACUGCAGAUGCCAAAGACCAUCUGGAUCCUUCAGUUAUGCCUUGUUGUGCCUGAUGUCUUACUGUUGAAAGAAAUGGGGUGCAGCAGCAGAUGCCAGCAAAGUAAAGGUGCCUACAUAGUGCUGUUUGCAAAGCAAGGUGUUUUAUGAGAGCAUGGAACUGCACGUCACAGCACCUUUUCUCCAUGGGUUGAGACUGUUGUAACACUCCAAACUUCUGCUACCCACAUACCCUCCACUGCAGUAAUUCUUUGGUACUGUGGAGAGUCAGUCACACAGUGCUGAUCAGAUCAUGUGCCACCUGUUAUGUCCACUAGUAUAUGGGAAUAUAGCAAGGAAAAGAGAAUAACAAAGCUUUAGUGGUGUGGUGUCCCUCACAGUCAGUGUAGUAAGUUAGAACAAACUGCAAAAACUCAGAGCUAUUUUCCUCAGCAGGUCAGCAUUCAGGGAAACCCAGAGCACAGGGAGAGUUACUGCCACCAUUCCCCCCCUUCCCCAGACUGGCAUUCUGGCCAAAGUUAAUGAUUCAUAAGAUUCUGCACUGAUUUCACUGUGAGCUUCCACAUUUGCAUAAGUAAAAGCUUCUGCAGCUUCUGUAGGGAAAUUCUUAGUGAAAUUGCAGCACAAAACAUUGAUAUUAUGUAAUUAUAGUAGUUCAUUGUAACUUAAAUGAAAUUGUUACUUUAAACUUGCUCUAAGUGGCUCACAAUGGAACUUUGUAUGACACACCUACAAAACAAAUGAGUUAAUCACAAUAUGUGUCAUUUUUAAUUUUUCUCUUUCAUUUUUCUUUCAGUCAUUCUCUCUUUGUAAUUAGCAUGAAGACUACCCUUCAGUCAAAACUAGCCACCUGGAAAGUUUCAGCUUGUAAUAUGCAGCUUUUUUUGUGAAUUAUGAAUGUGCUAAAGAAGAGACCUUUCUCCCCACACCCACUUCCUUGCAUAAUUCAAAUAUGAAUGAAUGAAUUUUAUUCAGGCUUGCCAAAAAAAUCAUAUUUCAGCUGAUAACAAGCAUGAAAAAUUUCACAUGAAAGGGAUUUUUUUUUUUUUUAAGAAUAUUCCGAGCAUGGGAGAACAGCAGGUUAAGACAGAAGUCUUAGUGCAGCCUUAAAUAUAACAAUUGUUAGCAAGCAAAUACUAUAUCCAAGCACUAGAUUUUGCUUUGUGCUGCCCUGGUGCACAGUACUGGGGACAGAAUAGAAUAAUAAAAGCUGGUCCCCUUAUGCA
This 1250-nucleotide long non-coding RNA is filed under the name Manacus vitellinus (golden-collared manakin). Its description in RNAcentral is "lncRNA (ENSMVIG00005001812.1)". The record is from RNAcentral. Lineage: Eukaryota; Metazoa; Chordata; Aves; Passeriformes; Pipridae.